This 253-nucleotide ribosomal RNA is filed under the name uncultured bacterium. Its description in RNAcentral is "partial 16S ribosomal RNA". It matches the Rfam family "Bacterial small subunit ribosomal RNA", at positions 524 to 776 of the family's 1533-position model. The record is from RNAcentral.
UACGUAGGGGGCAAGCGUUGUCCGGAAUCAUUGGGCGUAAAGCGCGCGUAGGCGGCCCGGUAAGUCCGCUCUGAAAGUCCAGGGCUCAACCCUGGAAAGCGGGUGGAUACUGCCGGGCUCGAAUCCGGAAGAGGCGAGUGGAAUUCCUGGUGUAGCGGUGGAAUGCGCAGAUAUCAGGAGGAACACCAAUAGCGAAGGCAGCUCGCUGGGACGGUAUUGACGCUAAGGCGCGAAAGCGUGGGGAGCGAACAGG